CACAGCUCAAUACACUAAAUACCCACAGAGACAGCAAACCCCUAGUCAAACAUUGAGUCAUACUAUGUCAAUAGCAGUACCUAUGCUAAAACUAGUAACAAGAAAACUUCUCUCCGCACCUGUGUGCCCCAGAAAUAGAAAAACUACUGGACACUAACAAAACCCGCAUACUGUCAACCCAACACAGGAGUGCAUCAAAGAUGGUUAAAAGUUAUAUAAGGAACUCAGCAAACCCCCGCCAUCCCAACUGUUUACCAAAAACAUAGCCUUUAGCCCCACAAGUAUUAAAGGUCAUGCCUGCCCAGUGAAACAUUUUCAACGGCCGCGGUAUCCUAACCGUGCAAAGGUAGCGUAAUCACUUGUCUUUUAAAUAAAGACUCGUAUGAACGGCUAAAUGAGGAUGGGCCUGUCUCUUUUAACUGACCAGUGAAACUGAUCUUCAAGUACAAAAGCUUGAAUAUGCCCAUAAGACGAGAAGACCCUGUGGAGCUUAAAAUCAAUACUAUAACCGAACUUUAACAUAGUACAAAGAUUUUCAGUUGGGGCGACUUCGGAACAAAACAAAACUUCCGAGCACAGAGCCACCCGCUCUCACUAAGACCAACAAGUCAAAGUAAACACCCUGACCCAGUCUUACUGAACAACGAACCAAGUUACCCCAGGGAUAACAGCGCAAUCUUCUUCAAGAGUUCCUAUCGACAGGAAGGUUUACGACCUCGAUGUUGGAUCAGGACACCCAAAUGGUGCAGCAGCUAUUAAAGGUUCGUUUGUUCAACGAUCAACAGU
RNAcentral lists this ribosomal RNA (786 nucleotides) under Emoia caeruleocauda. RNAcentral's name for it is "partial 16S rRNA". It matches the Rfam family "Bacterial large subunit ribosomal RNA", at positions 1485 to 2594 of the family's 2925-position model. Lineage: Eukaryota; Metazoa; Chordata; Lepidosauria; Squamata; Scincidae. The record is from RNAcentral.